CUUGGCCUUUUGCAGCAGUUGCAGCUUCCAGACCAAACUCAUCGCAGUAAACAAGACUUGAAGUUACCAAUAAAGUAAGACAGUUGAACAAGCUUCCUCAGGAGUUGGUGGGCUCUCUUCACUGGAGGUUUCUGAGCACAGGUUGGAUGGUCAUCUGUCAUGGAUGAUUUAGUUGAGAUUCCUGCAUUGCAGAGCAUUGGACUAGAUAACCCAUGAGGUUCCUUCCAAUUCUAUGAUUCUAUGAAUGCAUGAAUCACUGUGGCCAGGCUACCCCUGUCCAAGAAUGGCUGCAGUUGGUGUACCAGCCAUAGUUGGUAAAGGGCACUCCUAGCCACUGAAACUAUCUCAGCCUCCAGUGACAAAGAUGAUCCAGGACCAACCUUAAACUAUGAACUUGUUCUUUCAAAGGGAGUCCAACCCCAUCCAGAACAGGCAACUUGGCCCAUCACCCAGAUAAGGGAACAUCCAUCAACAGUGCCACCAUUUUUUCCAGGGUUCAAACUCAGUAUAUUGGCCCUCGUCCAGUCCACUACAGCACCCGAAGAAUAAUCCAAAGCAUACAUAGCCUCUCCUGACUCAGACGUUAUUGUGAAAACGAACUCUAGAGGGACAGGGGAAUCACAGAGGGACUUUUUAAUAAGCACAGUGGGCUGCAGCUACAGGGAAACUGAAGGUUCCCCCUCUCUGGACAACUUGAAGUGCUUAUCAUUUGCUCAGUGGGUUUUUUGAUCUUUGCCAAUGUAUAGUAAAACAAAAACAAAAACUGCAGGCUUCUUGCUGCCAUGCUAAGUAGGCACUGACAUCUGGAAUUUUUUUAGGUACAGACAACAAAAUUUAGAGCAAACGUCCCAUCUCUUAUGCUCAGGAACCAUUGCCUACCCUACUGAGAUAAUGAAGAUGGAAACCAGGAAGCAUUUAUGACAGUGAAUUGCCUUAACACAAAUAAUACUUUUUAUAAGAACAACAUGAUAAUACUUUGUACGCAUUCUGGGAGCUGGAAAAGUUUUAAAACUGUUGAAAGUGUUCACAUCCUUUCCCUCAGGUAAUCCUCUAUAAUGCUGUAGGAAUUAUUCUUUGUUCUACAGGAAAGGGUAAUGAAGGCUACCUGUCAAAUCCUGCCAUUAUUCUGCUGCACAAUGCAAGCCUUCUCUCAGCUGCCCAGACACCUAUCAACCCUCUGUAUGCACUUCUUCAUACACUGAAUACCAACCUCCAGGAAAAGAAUGAAAGCAGAAC
This is a non-coding RNA of Podarcis lilfordi (Lilford's wall lizard), 1236 nucleotides long. The record is from the annotation of a GenBank genome assembly. NCBI's taxonomy places the organism in Eukaryota, Metazoa, Chordata, Lepidosauria, Squamata, Lacertidae.